Molecule: ribosomal RNA, 374 nt
Filed under: Megaloprepus caerulatus
Lineage: Eukaryota; Metazoa; Arthropoda; Insecta; Odonata; Coenagrionidae
Description: partial 12S ribosomal RNA
Source: RNAcentral
UACCCUAUUAUAUUAGGUGUGAUUUUUUUACUUGGGUAGUAUUAGUUAUGUUCUUGAAACUUAAAAAAUUUGGCGGUAUUUUAUUCUUUCCAGAGGAACCUGUUCUUUAAUUGAUAAUCCACGAUUUUAUUUACUUAUAUUUGUAAUCAGUUUUUAUAUCUCCGUCAUAAGAAUAUUUUUUUAGAAUAAAUUUUCUUAGUUAUUUAAGGUUAAAAUGUCAGGUCAAGGUGAAAUUUAUGUAUAAGUAGAAAUGGGUUACAAUAAGGUUACUUAUAACGGAUAGUGUGUAUUGAAUCAUGCUUAAAGGUGGAUUUGGGAGUAAAAAAAUUUUUAUUAACUUUUUGAUUUUAGCUCUAAAUUAUGUACACAUCGCC